RNAcentral lists this ribosomal RNA (494 nucleotides) under uncultured bacterium. RNAcentral describes it as "partial 16S ribosomal RNA". It matches the Rfam family "Bacterial small subunit ribosomal RNA", at positions 28 to 507 of the family's 1533-position model. The record is from RNAcentral.
GACGAACGCUGGCGGCGUGCUUAACACAUGCAAGUCGAACGGUGAAGCGCCUUCCUUUUUGGCGGGUGUGGAUGAGUGGCGAACGGGUGAGUAACACGUGAGUAUCCUGCCCCCUUCUUCUGGAUAACCGCAUGAAAGUGUGGCUAAUACGGGAUAUUCUGGGUCUGUCGCAUGAUGGGUCUGGGUAAGAUAUUGUUUCGGUGGGGGAUGGGCUCGCGGCCUAUCAGGUUGUUGGUGGGGUGGUGGCCUACCAAGGCGGGGACGGGUAGCCGGCAUGGGAGCGUUGCCUGUCUGGCUGGGGCGGAGGAUCGGCCAAGCCUGCAACGGGAGGCAGCCGUGAGGACUAUGGGACGAUGGGGGCGGGCCUGUUGCAGCGUCGCCGCGAGAGUGAUGGAGGCCUGCGGGUUGUGAGCCUCUGUCGCCAGGGAAGCAGAGCUGCCUUGUCUGUGAGUGGAUUGACGGUAGCUGGAUAAGAAGCGCCGGCUAACUACGUG